UAAUACCAGCACCCCGAGUGGUCGGGACGAUUAUUGGGCCUAAAGCAUCCGUAGCCGGUUCUGCAAGUCUUCCGUUAAAUCCAUCUGCUUAACAGAUGGGCUGCAGAGGAUACUAUAGAGCUAGGAGGCGGGAGAGGCAAGCGGUACUUAGUGGGUAGGGGUAAAAUCCGUUGAUCCACUGAAGACCACCAGUGGCGAAGGCGG
This 204-nucleotide ribosomal RNA is filed under the name uncultured ammonia-oxidizing archaeon. Its description in RNAcentral is "partial 16S ribosomal RNA". It matches the Rfam family "Archaeal small subunit ribosomal RNA", at positions 471 to 675 of the family's 1478-position model. The record is from RNAcentral.